Molecule: small nuclear RNA, 103 nt
Organism: Peromyscus eremicus (cactus mouse)
Lineage: Eukaryota; Metazoa; Chordata; Mammalia; Rodentia; Cricetidae
Source: RefSeq, a predicted model, not a curated record
ACAGCCUUUAUGAGUGUUUGCUUCAGCAGCACAUAUACAGAGAAGAUUAUCAUGGCCCCUGCUCAAGGAUGACAUGCAAAUUGGUGAAACAUUCCAUAUUUUU